This 404-nucleotide ribosomal RNA is filed under the name Actinomycetes bacterium. Its description in RNAcentral is "Actinobacteria bacterium partial 16S ribosomal RNA". It matches the Rfam family "Bacterial small subunit ribosomal RNA", at positions 355 to 776 of the family's 1533-position model. The record is from RNAcentral. Lineage: Bacteria; Bacillati; Actinomycetota; Actinomycetes.
UGGGGAAUAUUGGACAAUGGGCGCAAGCCUGAUCCAGCCAUGCCGCGUGAGUGAUGAUGGCCCUAGGGUUGUAAAGCUCUUUCACCGGUGAAGAUAAUGACGGUAACCGGAGAAGAAGCCCCGGCUAACUUCGUGCCAGCAGCCGCGGUAAUACGAAGGGGGCUAGCGUUGUUCGGAUUUACUGGGCGUAAAGCGCACGUAGGCGGACUUUUAAGUCAGGGGUGAAAUCCCGGGGCUCAACCCCGGAACUGCCUUUGAUACUGGAAGUCUUGAGUAUGGUAGAGGUGAGUGGAAUUCCGAGUGUAGAGGUGAAAUUCGUAGAUAUUCGGAGGAACACCAGUGGCGAAGGCGGCUCACUGGACCAUUACUGACGCUGGGGUGCGAAAGCGUGGGGAGCAAACAGG